CAAGGCUGGGUCCAGGCUUUCUUCCAUCUCCUUUGGGCUCUUCUGACUGUGGAACUGCUGAAGGCAGAGGCAGUUUGAGAAAGGUCAAGAAACUGCAAAGCUUGGUGACGUGUUUGGAGACAUACAGAAACAAAAGCCAGCUCUAGCAGGACUAUUUUCCUUGUAUCUGGGUAGCGUGGAUGAAUAGCACUCCAAAGCUUUCUGUAUCUCCAGUCUGAGCCAGGCAAGGGAUCAGCAGGAACAACGUGAAGACAGCUGAGGAGCUUCGGUUUUCUUGCAUGUUCCAAUCCUGGGUGAACUUGGCAGUGUGAGAGAUCUCACUUUGGGUGCCCUUGGAGAGGACAGCUUGUGGUGUUUUGGUGAUUGUGUCUACUCACAGCUGUUCAGAGACAGUUGGGUCUGCAGGUGCUAGGCAGGAUGGGGUCCCUCUUGAAUUUCCAUCAGACUCAAAGUUUCCCAUGCUGAAGGACAGAAGGUGAAUACACUGAUAUUUUCUGCCGGAGGAGAGCCUGCACUGCAGCAGAUCCACAGCUCCACAAUGCACAUGGCCAGAGUUAUUCUGAGAGGUAGAGCAAUAACUCUAAUGCAAGACAGGAGACAUAACAAUGCAAGCCAUGGAUGAGGUUCUGAUCAACAACACAGAGAUCUGAAGGGAAAAGGAGAUAGAGUGGAGAAGUCACUGUAAUGUUUCUGUGUAAGAAACCAGGAAAGAAAGGCACAAAUGUUCCAAGUACUGCAAUGUCUGUGAUACAGCUGGAAAUCUGCAACUACACUGCAUCAUCCUCACAGUCAGGUGGGAAUGAGACAUCUCCAGAGGACACUCCAUCCCCACAAAGAUGUCUCUAAGAAUGAGCUGUCCAUAAGAGUUCUCUCUGUGGAAUUAAGGUCUGCUGAACCUCAUGUAAGUUCAUGUCCUGUUGGUGGACUCUGAUUGGUAAGGACAGCUUACUGCAGUCUUUCCUAAAUUGGGCUUCGGGAAGAGAAAGAUUGCUCCUUUCACAGUGCAAAACACAGUGAGGAAUAGAAACGAAAAUGGACUACUGUGCCCAGGUCUGGGGCCUCCAAUACAGGAAAGAUGUGGAGCUGUUGGAGAGGGCUCAGUAGGGCCACAAAGAUAAUCAAGAGGAAGUCAAUGCUGGAAUGAUGCUCAAAUGUCCCCAGUUCUGGCCCAUGGGCUGGCAGCCAGGACCUUAGUUUUUUGCCACCUGUUGGUGAAGCACAAAAACCUUGUCAAAUCACUUCAUUUCUAUUCCUCUCCUGACUCACAGCUGACUCAGGACCUUGAAGUGUCAGUGUGAGAGUGAGGACAGAGAGGUGCAAAGAGAGACAUGUGCAUGUGUUUAGCAGGUAGGGAAGGAGCAGGUGAGAAACAUCCCCAGCACAGCCCGAGGGCACUUUUCUGACCUGAACUUUCAGCGGGUGGGAAAGGUUUGGGAUUUUUUUUGCACCUUAUGGUUAGGUUUAAGUUUCCCCUGUCCCUAGAGAAGACUGCAUAUGGCCCUAUUCAACCUCCUGCCCUGAAAUGCUGCAAGAAAACCUUACAAAUACCUUCCCUGCAGAUCCUGCACCCGCACAUGUGGCAGGAGCAGAAUCAGGCCUGCAGCUACUUUUCAGACAACUGCAGAGUGGUGCAAAAACACAGAAUGCUGUAAAAACCAAUAACCUUUGAAGCACACCCCCUGAGUAAUUACCCCAUUCCCAUCUAAUGACUUAAAGAUGUUAUAUUCCUCUCUGAUUUGGCAACAACAAAGAUUUUGACCUUAUUAAAACCAGCCUGUCAGGAAACUACAUGUCAUCCUCUGAAAAAAAAUAAAAAUAAAAAAAAUAAUAAAAAAAGAAAUAAUAAAUUAAAUAAUUUAAAAUCUCUGUGAACAAUAAUUCAAGAUACUGUAGCUGAAGACCCAUGAUUUGUUGUAGAGUGUCUGGGUGGUCCUGAGGCAGGAGAUGACAACACUAGCUCUUUCCUUCGCCCUUCUAAGAAAUGCUUUGAUGAUUCUCUAAUAUCCUAAGAAUAUCCCCCUGUGAUUCUGCACUGGGACGAGGCAAUCACAGAGCCAGGAUAAUGCAUUCCAGUUUUACCCAGGGUCUUGCUAGCAGGGGAAUAGCUCAGAGUGCUUCGUUUCAGAUGUCUGUACAGAACCCGUGAGCCAGGAUGCAUUCACCAGAGCUUAAAUAGUGAUGUGGUCUCAAAAACAUCCACCAACUCACCCCCACCCUCUGCACACAUCUGGCUGCAUACCUGAUUUGUAUGUGCAAUUAAGGCACUCAUCAUCACGGCUCAGAUAACCAAAUACUUGUUCCUCUGGUCGUUGGAGAGAUAAUGAUUACAGCACUUAGUCAAAGUAAGUAAGAACAUCAAGGAUGCAUAUACAGAUGAGCUUAGAAUUGCAAAAUUCUCAUCAGUAAUGCCAUCUGUGAAGUUUUUAGGAACCCUGAUCGUUAUACAAUAUGGAAAGGGCUCAUUUGAUGGCACCACAAUCAAGCAGCUUUGAACCAAACUUCAAGAAUGAGCUGAAUAUAUCUCUUUUGUCUGUAUUUUGCUCACACUACAACAGCCCUACAUGCAAAACAACCUGCAUUUUUGGGGUGGUCAAAUUCAUAAUCCGUAUUUCAUUUCUUGGGUUCAACCUUUCAAUUAAUUAGAAACAGAAUGACUCAAUCUGCCCUCUCCUACGCACAUUCAAGUUUGUUUGGUAUUGUGUGGGCCCUGUGGCUCAAAUAUUUUUUGCAGAUGCACAGAAUUAACCAUGCAUGUUUAGAUGUGCUUAGGGAACACAUACAUUCGUAGAGAUGUAUAUAUUUGACCCUGUCACUUUCUUGUUAAACACUGUAAAAGAUAUCGACUUUCCUCUCCAGAUUUUAAAAUGAUUUAGAAUAGGCAGCACUGGGGAAACACCUAAAACAUCCUGUCAAAUUAAGCAUUUUCUCCAAGACUGUUCUCUAAGACACACAAUUAUUUCAGCUAAGAAGAUGCCUGUGCAACGUAUUAAGGAACAGAAUGAACAACAAAAUAUAAACUGGCUUAAAUGGAUGUCCAACAUACUGCAUUUUUCCAUUUGAUUUUAAUUUUCUUUUUCCAUCUCCAUGUUCUUUUUCCAGCUCCACACAGCAUUUUUUCUCUCCACUUAGUUUGUAUCACAUUUUUCUCUCUAAUUCACUGGGCUCACUUUCCUGCUCACUGCUCGUUAUUUUUCCAGAGUGUCUCUUACUAAGAACAAUUAAGGUUGGGUCAGAUCUCUAAACCUGUUAUUUGGAGCAGCAUUGAAUGCAAGCUCGUUCCACUGAACAAAAGCACUGGCUUCUUUUCCCUUCAAGCAGACUCGCUCUCAAAAUAAUAAUAAUAAUAAUGAGGAAAAAAAAAAGGUUCAUAAAGCACAUCUACCAGGCAGAAAUGGGAAGAACAUUAAACUGCUGCACUGCCCAUUAGGAAAAACUUCUCCAAAAGAGCAGGGUGAUGCACUGGCACAGGUUGCCCAGGGAGGUGGUGGGGUCACUGUCCCUAAAGGUGUUCAACAACUGCGGGGAUGUGACACUGAGGGAUGUGGUCAGUGGGCAAUAUCAGUGGUGUGAUCUUACAGACCUUUUCUAACCUUAAUGAUUCUAUGUCUUAGAAUCUAUGUAUUCUAGUCUACCUGUGAUGCUAAGGCUGAGUUCCUUCCCCCUGCUUGCAAAGCAACUACGACAAUACCAGCCACGACACAAGAGUUUCCAAGCACUCAGAAAGCCUGGAGAUGUCACUCGUGACUCACACAAAGCCACUUGCUUGCCUGCGGGGCUGGAAAGGCUGCACAAGCUUUCCCUGCUGGGUGUCAUAACCAGGACCCUGAAGUGUCUCCGCAGAACUGAGCCAAAGAAUUCCGUGAGCAUGGUCUGCACCAUGCCUCUCCAUGGUAGUGCUAUGCAAAGCAUCCCUGACAUCUAGCAGCUCACAAGAAAUUGGCUGGGUUCCCUCUCUUUCCAGCUUAAUGGGCUCAGACCCCAGGUAUAAUGCUUACUUUGUUCAGUUUUUCAGGAGUUGUAAAGGGGAGAUGUGAGUUAAAUCAGAAUUUGGCCUGGCAUUUUCAUAAUUGCAGGAACCCAGCUUUUAUAGCAUUGAAACCAUAUGAAUUUAUCUAAUCCUACCACUCCUUUGUCCCAGUGAGUAACUGGACUUGGAGCACAGCUGCUCUUUGAGGUCCCGCUGAGUUUUCAGUGUGCAGUGCUCCCUGUGCUGCUCCUUUCCUUACCCUUCUCUGUGUUAACAAUGACAGCUUUACGUGUGCAUUUCCACUGAAUUCUAAUGACAGAUUUCUUUUUCUUAAUGGUAACCAAGUGAUUUCACUGGAAGAUGCUUCUGUUUCGUUAUGGAUUUUAUCUAGCUCUGCUAAGCCUGAAGCUUUACUCUGCAAAUCAGCAGACGUCUAGGUUUUGAGGAUUUAGAUACCUGAUAGAUAUGAAGGUCACCCAAAUGCAUACGUUCAACUUAGGACCACUGUGUUUUCGAUGAAGGUUAAGAGUCUGAAUGAGGAGAUUGUCCCCAACCCAUUCAACACGGAAAGAACAACACUUCCUAAUGGAGAAUCUCCUUUUGUAUGAAGAGCUGCUGCGAUUUAGGGAGUGCAGGUGCUUUACUACCCACUUCUGCAUUGAAGAAAUCCAACUCUCCCCGGGCAGAAGCCCACUCAGCACCUCGUACAGUGUCUGCAACUGCAGUCAGCCUUGCAAGUUUAACACAAACCACGCUCUUCACCCAUCCAAACAGCAGGGGAGAAGUGCUACCGUGUAUUGAAUUUUCUUGGCCUGUUAAACCAGACAACUUAUUUCUCAGCUGAGUGACUAAGAAGAGCUUUACAGAGCCCUGUUAAAGUGCAUUUCAGGUUUAGAAGAAUUCCAUUUAUGAGAGGGUAUCCACUGCGCUUUCCCUUCUUAUCUGCUUGAUAUGAGUCAGAAAGACAGUUGUUUUUCUUUUGUGUGCAAUACACAAUAUGCCACAAGGAGUCAUACUUAAAGGCUCCAAAGAGCCAAUCCUCAGAACAUCUGGCCAGUGAAAGCCCUGGAUAUGGAAAAUAUAAAUGUCAAGGCUCAUAUUUAUAAAUUGGAAGGGCCAUGACGACAUCUGCUAACAAGCUCUCUUCCAGAGCCCAUUUGUACAUGGUUAUGCGCAGGCAACAAUAAACAUGUGCAUGGAUCACAUGCACGGUCUGCACUCCCUUUCAGUUUCCGAAGGAACACACACUCCCAUAACACACAAAUGCUCUGUUCUCACAACACAAAAAUACAAGUGUUUGCAAACCUCACAGCAAAGCUCUUGCAUACCAGACCACAGUGGGACACGCUGCUGGAACAGACUAAAAAUAGAUGGAGAAAAAGCCUUGCAUUAACACAGAAGACAGUUAAACUCAUUUGGCGUUAACUCUUCCAGUGGAAUAAACACUCUGCUGCUUUUUUUUGCCUCUCUGCACAGGAGACAUUUUGUACUAUAGCUCCAAUCCUGAAACCUAAUAUUUAUGGUGGAAUCAUUGCAGAUGGGAAGCCUUACAUACAGUCUAACCCAUUCGAUUGCGGUAGCUUAAUAUUAACAUUAAAACAAACUGAAAAUAAACUUACUUCUCCAGUUUUUUCUCAACUUAAUGCCAACUGUAAGCACGUAUCUAAUGACUUAGAAAAAUGAUCCAAUGCGUUGUCAUAAAGGUUUUACUAAUCAUUUCAUUAUUAUGGGUGUCUAGAGCACAGUUCAGAGGUGCAAAAGGUGAAUCUACACUUGCAUAUGGAAGGUAGAGACCAUGCUGGGCAUGAGAUUGUCCAGAGCAAAUGCAAGCCCCCAACGCUUCUAGCACUGAUCACAGUCAUGCAGACUGCCCACGAGGCUCCCAGAAGGAGGAAGAAUAUCAGGCAGAAAAAGCAUGGAGUGCUUUACGAUGACCAUGAAUUUAGCAAGGAAUAAACGCUGCCACACUGUCUUAUCCAGCAGGAAAGCAAAAGACAUAGAAAGAAUCUUAGCUAUACCUCCUGCAGUCUGCACUACUGCCAGACGUCAAAGAGAUGCUGGUUACUAGAGACAUGCUCCGUAUCAAAGAGGUUCUGCUGAAGGCUCCCAAAGCACACACUUCCCAUUGAUAUAGACUGACAGAAGUAAUCUGCAGUGCUUGUAGGACUGCAGCCUCCUGUGGGAUGAGCCCAGAGAGGAGGAGGUGGCAUCCAUGGUCCAGGGGUCUGAGGAUGAAGAUGGAAAUGGUGAAGUGGUCCCUUUGUACCCUUCUCUGCCAACCACGUGCAGCCAGCAUUAAGCAGGGCAGGAAGAACAAGUACAGGAGAAUGAGAAAAUUCAAGCAGAGAAUGGGGAAGCGUGGAACUGGAAAGUAAACAGGUUGUUCAAGAUUAAGAGCAUUCUGGCAGCGGGUGUGGAAACGAGACAGCAUUGGCCGGGAAAGAGCAGAACAAGUGGGGAUGUGCAUCACUGGAAAAAUGACAGUGAAGAGAUUAUCAAAACUCAGCAGCUGCUCAUUUUUGAAACUGAAUCCUAAGCAAACAUUUUAUUUUUGCUGCAUCAGGCAGACCUUAAGCGGUUUAAAAAGGCUUGCUAUGGCAGGACUAUGUUUAACCAAAAAUACAUACAAAUGAGACACAUGUACUGCAUAUAAACAUGCAGUGUGGACUACCUUUACUCAACGUAUGCCAAAUGAAACGUAGAAAACAAGAAAGGAAGUGAAAUCUCUUAAUAGGUUCCAUAAAACCUCUUGUAUUGUGUUUUCAAUCUCAAUCAGCAUCAAGAAGGAAGGAGCAGAAAGUGUUCUUGGAUACCCAGUGCUGAAAAAUACCUCACUGUUCAAAAAUCUUAGCUUUUAUGUCCAAUUUUGUUACUUGCUCGCCUUGAAAAAUAUGGGUUUAAUAUUCAUGAUGGAUUUAAGCUUCAUGAAAAUAAAAUACCUAACACAUUGCCAAUAAAGAGUUUGGUUUCACGAAAGAAUGAAAUCUAUAUUCCAAUUGUCUACUUUCAUGUGCUUUCAUCUAUUUUUAGUGUUCUUUAUCUGACGAAUUGAUUUUCAUGUAUUUAUAGCUUUCAUUAAUUUCAUAGGUUAUACAUACAGCUUCACACUCAUCAUGGUGGUGAGAUAUAUGAGUGAAAAUAAUAAACAUGCAAAGCCGUUGCUUGUAUUUUUUGAAGUCUGCCAGUCUCUGUGUUUCAUCACACUGGAUCUGCAUAUUGCAGAGAACGUCAGCAGCAUUCAACUAUGUAAAAUCAACAGAACAAAGUAAAGCAUACGUUUGUGUUUCUGUAUCUAACAGGUGAAAGUGUGCCUGCACAUCUCUCCAGCCCCAUCUGCAGAGUAGCAAAUUUAUUCUUUGACUUUACAAGGGGAAAGAAGUUAUCACUCAUGGCCAGUUGACAGGGAGGGUCUAUUAGCAUGGAAAUGCCAGAGUUUUGGACACAAAUUUCAAGAUUUCCCAUCUGUUACUGCAAUGCACAAGAGAAUUCUGUGCUGAGCACAGGUUUCACAGCCUUAAUUAAUACGUUGUGUGCACUCUGACUAACCUGAUAAUCCAAGAAGCCUCAACAAAAACUGUCUAGAGACAGAGGAUAUGUCAUCACCAUAUCAUAUGUUAUAGUCAGGAGAUUUGUUUCUUAUUUAUACUGCACUAAGUUAUACUGUGAUGAUAUUUUACUUCCACGGGAGGGCUUGAGCACUUAGGGCUGGUGAGAGGUGCCAACAUCAGUGCUUGUUGAAAGGAGACAUCAAGCCAUCUGCUCAUCUUAGAGGGGGAUCAAGUGGAAACAGCAAGGGACUAAGGAGGGGAAA
Gallus gallus (chicken) is the source of this 7778-nucleotide long non-coding RNA. RefSeq lists it as uncharacterized. The record is from RefSeq and is a predicted model, not a curated record. The transcript has 4 exons. Lineage: Eukaryota; Metazoa; Chordata; Aves; Galliformes; Phasianidae.